RNAcentral lists this ribosomal RNA (715 nucleotides) under uncultured bacterium. Its description in RNAcentral is "bacterial SSU rRNA". It matches the Rfam family "Bacterial small subunit ribosomal RNA", at positions 116 to 819 of the family's 1533-position model. The record is from RNAcentral.
CGUAGGUAACCUGCCUUGUAGCGGGGGAUAACUAUUGGAAACGAUAGCUAAUACCGCAUAACAAUGGAUGACACAUGUCAUUUAUUUGAAAGGGGCAAUUGCUCCACUACAAGAUGGACCUGCGUUGUAUUAGCUAGUAGGUGAGGUAAUGGCUCACCUAGGCGACGAUACAUAGCCGACCUGAGAGGGUGAUCGGCCACACUGGGACUGAGACACGGCCCAGACUCCUACGGGAGGCAGCAGUAGGGAAUCUUCGGCAAUGGGGGCAACCCUGACCGAGCAACGCCGCGUGAGUGAAGAAGGUUUUCGGAUCGUAAAGCUCUGUUGUAAGUCAAGAACGGGUGUGAGAGUGGAAAGUUCACACUGUGACGGUAGCUUACCAGAAAGGGACGGCUAACUACGUGCCAGCAGCCGCGGUAAUACGUAGGUCCCGAGCGUUGUCCGGAUUUAUUGGGCGUAAAGCGAGCGCAGGCGGUUUGAUAAGUCUGAAGUUAAAGGCUGUGGCUCAACCAUAGUUCGCUUUGGAAACUGUCAAACUUGAGUGCAGAAGGGGAGAGUGGAAUUCCAUGUGUAGCGGUGAAAUGCGUAGAUAUAUGGAGGAACACCGGUGGCGAAAGCGGCUCUCUGGUCUGUAACUGACGCUGAGGCUCGAAAGCGUGGGGAGCGAACAGGAUUAGAUACCCUGGUAGUCCACGCCGUAAACGAUGAGUGCUAG